RNAcentral lists this unclassified non-coding RNA (327 nucleotides) under soil metagenome. RNAcentral describes it as "partial contains 5.8S ribosomal RNA, internal transcribed spacer 2, and large subunit ribosomal RNA". The stretch from base 1 to 120 matches the Rfam family "5.8S ribosomal RNA", at positions 35 to 154 of the family's 154-position model. The record is from RNAcentral.
GAUGAAGAACGCAGCGAAAUGCGAUAAGUAAUGUGAAUUGCAGAAUUUAGUGAAUCAUCGAAUCUUUGAACGCACAUUGCGCCCUUUGGUAUUCCGAAGGGCAUGCCUGUUCGAGCGUCAUUAUAACCACUCAAGCCUUUGCUUGGUAUUGGGGUUCGCGGUCUCGCGGCCCCUAAAAUCAGUGGCGGUGCCUGUCGGCUCUACGCGUAGUAAUACUCCUCGCGAUUGAGACCGGUGGGUAGCUUGCCAACAACCCGAAUUUUCUCAGGUUGACCUCGGAUCAGGUAGGGAUACCCGCUGAACUUAAGCAUAUCAAUAAGCGGAGGA